ACCAGUGUGACGUAGUGGUUUGAGUGUUGGACUAUGACUCUGGAGACCAGGGUUUGAGUCCCAGCUCAGCCA
Molecule: transfer RNA, 72 nt
Filed under: Phrynosoma platyrhinos (Desert horned lizard)
Lineage: Eukaryota; Metazoa; Chordata; Lepidosauria; Squamata; Phrynosomatidae
Description: tRNA-OTHER
Source: RNAcentral